RNAcentral lists this ribosomal RNA (480 nucleotides) under uncultured bacterium. RNAcentral's name for it is "bacterial SSU rRNA". It matches the Rfam family "Bacterial small subunit ribosomal RNA", at positions 29 to 507 of the family's 1533-position model. The record is from RNAcentral.
AACGAACGCUGGCGGCGUGCUUAACACAUGCAAGUCGAACGAUGAACCAGGGCUUGCCCUGGGAAUUAGUGGCGAACGGGUGAGUAACACGUGGGCAACCUGCCCCAGACACCGGGAUAACCAUCCGAAAGGAUGGCUAAUACCGGAUAUGACCACUUUGGGCAUCCAACGGUGGUGGAAAGGAUUCUGGUCUGGGAUGGGCCCGCGGCCUAUCAGCUAGUUGGUGGGGUAAUGGCCUACCAAGGCGACGACGGGUAGCCGGUCUGAGAGGAUGAUCGGCCACAUUGGGACUGAGACACGGCCCAGACUCCUACGGGAGGCAGCAGUAAGGAAUAUUGCGCAAUGGACGAAAGUCUGACGCAGCAACGCCGCGUGCAGGAUGAAGGCCCUUUGGGUUGUAAACUGCUGUAGAAAGGGAAUAAUAGUUUGCCACGGGUGAACUUGAAGGUACCUUUAAAGUAAGCGCCGGCUAACUACGUG